This is a long non-coding RNA of Cynocephalus volans (Philippine flying lemur), 550 nucleotides long. RefSeq lists it as uncharacterized. The record is from RefSeq and is a predicted model, not a curated record. NCBI's taxonomy places the organism in Eukaryota, Metazoa, Chordata, Mammalia, Dermoptera, Cynocephalidae. The transcript has 3 exons.
GCGGCGGCAGCGGCGGCGGCGGCGGCGGCGGCGGCGGCAGCGACCGACGGGGUACACUGGUGAGGGGAACGGCGCGGCGGAGCAGACACACAGUGGAUCUGUAUGGCGUGUGACAUGGGCACAUCCUGAAUUCGGACAGGUUUUGGCUUCCUGUUCUUUUGACCGAACAGCUGCUGUGUGGGAAGAAAUAGUAGGAGAAUCAAAUGAUAAACUGCGAGGACAGAGUCACUGGAAACUGACAAGCUGAUCUUAAUAUUCAUGUGAAAAUGCAAGGAACCCAGAGGAGCCAAGACAAUCUUGAGAAAAAAGAACAAAGUUGGCGGACUCACACUUCCUGAUUUCAAAAUGUACUACUAAAGUAUGGUAGUACUUUAAAGUAUAAUCCCAAAGGCACAAGGACAAAAGAAAAAACUGAUAAGUUGGACUAUAAUAACAUUAAAAACUUUUGUGCUUCAAAGGACACAAUUGAGAAAGGGGAGAGACACCACCGAAUAAAAGAAAAUAUUUGCAAAUUAUAUAUUUAAUAAGGGACAUGUAUCCAUAAUAUAAA